Long non-coding RNA from Ipomoea nil (Japanese morning glory), 765 nucleotides. RefSeq lists it as uncharacterized. The record is from RefSeq and is a predicted model, not a curated record. Lineage: Eukaryota; Viridiplantae; Streptophyta; Magnoliopsida; Solanales; Convolvulaceae. The transcript has 2 exons.
GGAUUUGUGCGAGCUAAGGAGUUGGAGGGCAGCUCUCCGUUUGGCAGAUAAUCGGAUGCUACAACGUAAGUAACCUUAAAAAUCUCGACCUGAUUAGUUACUUAUCCGCCAAAGGAGAGUUGCCCUACGACUGCUUCAGCUUGAUAUAUAUAUCAAUGCAUAUGUGUAUAUAAAAGUGCCUAACCAACUUUGUUGGCGUGAGUGGCGGCGCACUCUUCUUACUUAAGAGAGGUCGGGAGUCCGAAUCCACUCACGUAUGGAAAAACCAAUCUGGCGAGUACUUUAUCCCUUAAUUGGGCCAGCCCGGUGCGUACGAAGAUUAGUCUGAGUAUGUACAGACUUAAAAGUGUCUCUUACUAGUUAGGGUAUGCUCAGAACAACUCAUGGUCUCAAAAAAAAAAAUGCGAGUGCCUUCUUGUUCGAGUAUAGAGAGAUACUUCAAUUCUUAAAAGAUAUGAUCUUGAAUGGGCUGGCCAUAUCACCAUUGGAAGUGCAUGUAGGUGGAUGAAUAAGUCGAUUUUACAAGGCACCAACUAGGCAAUUAAUUCACAAACUCAUAUACCAUAUGUUUUACAUGAAUGCAAAUACUGACAGAGCUAAGUGCACAAGUUAAUAUAACUUGUUCCAAUUGUUGAGAAAACAUAUUCUGAAUCAUCUAAAUAGUAGAUGUCCAGGAAUCAUGAACAGACCAUGCUAUGUUAAAUAAGGUUGUGAUAGUUAUUUCAGAGUGAUGUAUAACAAAGAAGAUCCACUUAUUUGUUUUCU